RNAcentral lists this microRNA (19 nucleotides) under Callorhinchus milii (elephant shark). RNAcentral's name for it is "eshark_NOVEL_189". The record is from RNAcentral. Lineage: Eukaryota; Metazoa; Chordata; Chondrichthyes; Chimaeriformes; Callorhinchidae.
UCUGUGGUCGCCUUUUUAU